This is a long non-coding RNA of Mauremys reevesii (Reeves's turtle), 878 nucleotides long. RefSeq lists it as uncharacterized. Lineage: Eukaryota; Metazoa; Chordata; Testudines; Geoemydidae. The transcript is spliced from 3 exons. The record is from RefSeq and is a predicted model, not a curated record.
CUGCUAAAAUCACUAAGGGGCUAGUCUCCACUUACUGGGGGAUCCAGGUGUGGUGAUCGAUCCACUGGGGGUUGACCGCCGAUCGUGAUACCUGUAGACUCCGGUACUCCACUGGAACGAGAAGCAUAAGGUAGUGACCCCACCUCCACCGCAAAGAGCCCCGUGGAUACUUUGGCGGGUCUGGAGCCAGUGGAAAGUUGACCUAACCCAGAGGAGGAAGUCAUUGAUGAAGAGGUGGAGGCUGAAGAUGUGGAGCCCUAUGAUGCGGCUAGUCAGGAGCUGUUCUCCACUCCAGCCAGUCUCUGCAAUCACGCUCUGGCGAGCCAGAAGCAGGACAGGAGACCCCAGACUUCACCUUGAGAACCAACCCUCCAACAGAAGCAGAGCGUCUGCGCAAGAUAAGAAAAUGGCUGAGAUGGACCAAGGAAGAUAUGUUCUGGGUGAUGCUGCAGCAGUCAGAGAUAGAAAAUACCAAACACAAGAAGUUGAGGGAAAGCGACAAGCAGGAAAGAGAAGAGAAGGAUUCUUACAACAGGGAUGCCACAGAGCGGCUGAUUGAAGUUCUGGAGUGUCAAACCGACAUGCUCCAGACUCUCGUAACACUGAAGACUGAGCAGACUGAUGCAUGCCCGCCCUCCCCUUCAGCAUAUUCAGAACUCUUUCCCAUGAACUCCCCAAACUCCCCUCGCGCAUUUCUUUCCGACUUCUGGCACUUCACCCUUUCCUCUACACUCCAGCCCUACAGACAGCUGUUCCAAUGAAAGCUGGACCUAUACUCAGCUAUGAAAAUCAACCCCUUCCCCCCGGUACCUUCUCACCCAUCAACAGUGAGUAUGUGUGUGUGUUAAGUCCCCAUGGUGUUGUGGUUUAUUUGGCAA